RNAcentral lists this transfer RNA (72 nucleotides) under Eubacteriales bacterium. RNAcentral describes it as "tRNA-Arg". It matches the Rfam family "tRNA". Rfam says of the family: Transfer RNA (tRNA) molecules are approximately 80 nucleotides in length. Their secondary structure includes four short double-helical elements and three loops (D, anti-codon, and T loops). Lineage: Bacteria; Bacillati; Bacillota; Clostridia; Eubacteriales. The record is from RNAcentral.
GUUUCCGUAGUUCAACGGAUAGAACGUUAGCCUCCGGAGCUGAUGAUGUGGGUUCGAUUCCCGCCGGAAACG